Molecule: small RNA, 121 nt
Filed under: Marmota monax (woodchuck)
Lineage: Eukaryota; Metazoa; Chordata; Mammalia; Rodentia; Sciuridae
Source: RNAcentral
GCUGGGCAUGGUAGUGCAUGCCUAUAAUCCCAGUGACUUGGGAGGCUGAAGCAGAAGGAUCACAAGUUUAAAGCCAACCUCAGCAAUUUAGGGAGGCCCUAAACAAUAGUGAGACCCUCUC